RNAcentral lists this ribosomal RNA (429 nucleotides) under Triticum aestivum (bread wheat). RNAcentral's name for it is "partial small subunit ribosomal RNA". Lineage: Eukaryota; Viridiplantae; Streptophyta; Magnoliopsida; Poales; Poaceae. The record is from RNAcentral.
AUGCCAUCUAAGAUUGCUGGGGGCAUGCGCUUGGUGAAUACAUUUGAGCUCUGCUUUGGAAAUUUAGAUGGCUACAGUGAAGAGCAAACCAGUACUAAGUUGCUUGCUUUGAGCCUAUGUCAAUCCAUUGUUUCACUUGCUACUUUUAAGGGUAAAACUAGACAGUUAACAUGCACAGGCACAAUCAUACAGCACACAACAUCCAGCAUGAGCAUUCUAACCUCUGCGAGCUUGAUUAGAUCCUCUGAAGAUGAAAGUAAGAUGCUUGAUAAACUGGAGAUUAAGGUGCGCCUGCCCAAUGGCAAGCUUGUUGUAGGAAAACUGUGGAAAUAUGAUCUUUAUUAUAAUAUUGUUGUUGUGAACACCAAGGCUUUUCCAGAACUUCGUGCAGCAUGCUUUCAUAAUGAGGUGCUAGCUAUUGUCAAAUAA